CUCCAUUCAGACUCUAUUAGGAGGAAUACUGACACAGACAGGAAGCAGAUCACCUGUACCAGAUCCACAGACACAGACAGGAAGCAGAUCAGAGAGCAUUGAGAAAACAGUAUUGUACAUAAAGGAGAGGAU
Anguilla anguilla (European eel) is the source of this 132-nucleotide long non-coding RNA. RefSeq lists it as uncharacterized. The transcript has 2 exons. Lineage: Eukaryota; Metazoa; Chordata; Actinopteri; Anguilliformes; Anguillidae. The record is from RefSeq and is a predicted model, not a curated record.